GUGUCAGCCGCCGCGGUAAUACGUAGGUGGCAAGCGUUGUCCGGAUUUACUGGGCGCAAAGCGAACGCAGGCGGACCUUUAAGUAGGAAGUGAAAGGUUGGAGCUCAACUCUAACACUGCUCCCUAUACUGGAGGUCUUGAGUGCCGGAGAGGAAGACGGAACAAGUUGUGUAGCGGUGAAAUGCGUUGAUAUAACUUGGAACACCAAUGGCGAAAGCAGUCUUCUGGACGGAUACUGACGCUCAGGUUCGAAAGCCAAGGUAGCAAACAGGAUUAGAUACCCUGGUAGUCUUGGCCUUAAACGAUGUUCACUAGGUGUUGGGGGGUAACCCUCGGUGCCGCAGCUAACGCAUUAAGUGAACCGCCUGGGGACUACGGCCGCAAGGUUGAAACUCAAAGGAAUUGACGG
RNAcentral lists this ribosomal RNA (409 nucleotides) under uncultured bacterium. RNAcentral's name for it is "bacterial SSU rRNA". It matches the Rfam family "Bacterial small subunit ribosomal RNA", at positions 505 to 916 of the family's 1533-position model. The record is from RNAcentral.